Molecule: long non-coding RNA, 1768 nt
Filed under: Populus trichocarpa (black cottonwood)
Lineage: Eukaryota; Viridiplantae; Streptophyta; Magnoliopsida; Malpighiales; Salicaceae
Description: long non-coding RNA (PTRI_LNC000657)
Source: RNAcentral
CACCCGUAACAAACUUGGAUAUUUCACCAAAACCACAAUGAAACUAGCCUAAGAAUAUGCAAGUAAUGACACAUUGAUUGUUGAGCGUAACCAAGACUAGGUAUCACAUCAAUAUAUAUGUGUCUGUCAGAAUCGUGUGCGUUUGCUAUUAAUGAAUUAUCCUCUAUAUUUAUUCUUAGUAGUGUGCAUGACGUGCUAGCUAACCCGGAGAGGACAAAGGCGCCAAUGAACGAAGAAACGGAGGCCUGGUUGAGGAAUUCCAAAUGGGAACUUAUUCCAUGAACCUAAGAAGAAAGAACAAUAACAUGAUGCAAAUGAGUGUUCAUAAUAAAAUUCAAUGUGAAUGGUAGCACUUGUAGAUACAUAGCCUACAAUAUAAGUGUAUAAGCUAGUUUAUAUACACAAUCCAGUGAAGAAUAUAUGAAUGCAAUUUCUCAAAUCUUAACAUACUUGGAUUUUGCUCUAAAAGAGGGAUUAUUAUUUCUAAAAGGUGAUCUUAACAUCAAAGGAUAUUCGACAUUGAUUGGGUAGAUACCAAGCAAAUAGAAGAUCUACUUUUAGAUAUUUCAUGUAAACAUAGUAGGAAAUUUGGUAACUUAAAAGAUCAAGAAAUAGAAAUCGGUGGCUAGAUCGAGCGUAGAGGUAGAAUCUUAAGGCAUGACCCAUAGGGUGUUCGAGUUAUUAAGAUUGUUCUAAACGUGAUUAAUUAUUGAUAUUAAUAGUAAGUAUGAAGUAAAACUACAAAUUAUGUGGUUGCUGCACAAGCACUCUUUCAAGUAAACUUUAGUUAGCAUUGCCGACGAAAGAAAAGUACGUGAAUAGCGGUGAUGUGUGAUUAAUAAGAAGGCAACUUCAAUGAUGAGAUGUAUAAGCAAUAAGGAAGGAGGAGGGCAUUUAUCUCCAAUUCCCUUGUCUCAAUUAGUCAAUAUCUUUCAGCUGGAGGGCACUUGCCGUCCAAGUUUACAAGUAUUUUAUCCAUUACAGAUUUAAACAUCAGAUAUAAAGAUGUGAAAUUCCCAUGAUUUUUUUUUUAAUUCAGGAGAGGGGGGGUUCUAAUACUGGACCCCCAUUGAAAUUAAAAAUAUCCAUGCCUCCAUUUUUUGAUAAAAAAAAACUAUGGCUUUGAAUAUAAAAGCUGAGCCUAACCCUCUCUUCCUUAAUGGCAACACUGCUUCAUAACCAAUUAGGGACCAUUGUUUUCAGUGCUUAUAAUUAAUAACUAAUUAAACUAUCUAAUCACACAAACUAAUGCCACCCAUAACUGGCAACAGUACCCCAUAAUUAAGAAGCCAGCUGAUAAGCUAAACUACAGCCUGCCUAUGGGCAGCAUAAAUGCAUUAACCCCAUAUCUUCACAACUAGUCAAGCAUGUGUAUCCAUGUGUCCAUCAGUGCAUGAAAACCUCCACUCUUACUUGACCCUUUAAAAUUCCUACUCUCUCCUCCAUUUUGCCCCCUUCAGAGAGAGAGAGAGAGAGAGAGAGAGAGAGAUGGGGAGCAACUCAAUCCUCUAGUUUUCUGUAGCUAGGCUCUCUCUUGGGUUUCUCUAUCCUAUGCAUCCUUCAUCUCCAAGAGUAAGAGCUGGAGAGGGAAAUAAUGAAAGCCCAUAUCAAAUAAUAAAAACACACAAAAAAAAAUGGAUGUCUAUGGAGGAGUCUCUACCAGCGCACCUGAUUAUUUUCUCAUUGAUGACCUUUUAGACUUCUCUAAUGAUGACCUUCUCACCUCCUCCACCGACCACCACCACCUUCCUCCACCUGAAACCUCCUC